Molecule: long non-coding RNA, 1695 nt
Filed under: Cairina moschata (Muscovy duck)
Lineage: Eukaryota; Metazoa; Chordata; Aves; Anseriformes; Anatidae
Description: domestica (muscovy Duck (domestic type)) lncRNA (ENSCMMG00000006399.1)
Source: RNAcentral
CCCCCCCCAUUUCCUGCAGAGCUCUCGCACACGCGGGGGCCGCUGGACGGCAGCCCCUACGCCCGCGUGCAGAGGAAGGGGGCCCCCAGCCCUUGGGCCCCCCCCGGGGGGUACGGCAGCGAGAGUCCCCCCCCCCCGGGCGAGCCCUACGAAGCCGAGCCCCCCCCCGGCCGCCCCCCGCCCCCCACGGCCGCCGAGCGCCAGGAGCUGGAGCGGCUGCUGGGGGGCUUCGGGGUCGGGGGGCGCGACAGCCCCCAGGAGCAGCCCCCCGGGGGGGCGCCCCACAGGGACCCGGGGCCCUAUAGGGACCCAGCGCCCUAUAGGGACACAGCACCCUAUAGCACCCCGACACCCCAUGGCACCCCAGGGCCCUAUGGCCCUGCACCCCCCCGCAGCCCCCCGUCCCCCUGCUCCCCCCAGGCACCCUGCAGCGUGCUGUCCCCCUACAGCCCCCCAACAACCCACAGCUCCUACAGCGCCCCAGGAACCCCCUACGGCACCCCCACGACCUACAGCCCCCCCGCAUCCCAUAGCCCCCCUGCCUCCUAUAGCCCCCCCGCAUCCUAUAGCAUCCCCGCAUCCCAUAGCCCCCCCGCAGCCUAUAGCCCCCCCACAACCUACAGCCCCCCUGCAUCCUAUAGCACCCCGACAACCUACAGCCCCCCCGCAUCCCAUAGCCCCCCUGCCUCCUACGGCCCCCCCGCAGCCUAUAGCACCCCCGCAUCCCACAGCCCCCCCACAACCUACAGCCCCCCCGCCUCCUACAGCCCCUCACCCCCCUAUAGCGCCCCGACCCCCCCGGCCCCCUAUUGCACCUCAACGCCCUACAGCCCCCCGCCCCCCUGCGCCCCGCACCCCCCCCACGGCACCCUCGCCCCCUACAGCCCCCCAGCGCCCUAUAGCGCCCUGGCGCCCUAUAGCGCCCCGACCCCCUACAGCCCCCCGACCCCCUACAGCCCCCCGGCCCACUAUGCCCCCCCGGCCCCCUAUGCCCCCCCGGCCCCCUAUGCCCCCCCAAUGCCCUAUACCGCCCCCCCCCUUUGCCGCCGCUCCAGCCUGGCCCCCCCCUGCCCGUGCCGCCUGGGCAGCCUGGAGCGGCGGGGGGGGCCGGGGGGGUACGAGGUGCCUCGGGGGGGCGACGGGGGGGCGGAGAAGCGGCGGGCGCAGCGCUCCCUGUCCGAGGGGGGGGCCCCGGCGCCCCCCCCGCCCCCCUGCCCCGGCUGCCCCCGCUGCGGCCGCGCCCCGCCCCCCCCGGCCCCGCUGCCCCCCCGGCCCGGCCCCCCCGGGCUGGAGGCUCCGGAGGGUUUCGGGGUCCCCGGGGAGGAGCCCCCCCCGCCCGGAGAGCGCCGCAGCCCAGCCGAGGGGGGGCCCUGGCACAGCCCCUCCCGCGACGCCGCCCCCCCCGGGGCCCCCCCGGCGCCCGCCCCUCCCCAGGAGCAGCCGGAGCCCCCCCCCAGCAGCCCGGGGGGGUCCCCGACCCCCGCCUUCCCCCUGAGCACCGCUUACUACGAGCCCCCCCCGGCCCAGCAGCCCCCCCUGCCCGAGAAGCGCCCCCCCCAGCGGGGCGCGGGGGGCACCCAUGGGAGCCCCCCCCCGGAGCCGGACCCCCCCGCGGGCGCCACCUUCGCUCAGGACACCUCCAAGUUCUGGUACAAGCCGGGGCUGUCGCGGGAGCAAGGUGAGGGGGGGGGGGGG